UUAAAAUAUUGAUCCUUUCCAGCCAAGAACAUCGUGCUUUCCAAACCUUUCUGUAUCUUUCAGUAAAAUUUUGAAUUAUCUUAUUAAUUUUUCUUCCUUUUAUCCUGUAUAAACCUCGGAAUCUUAAAUCUGUUGUAUAUGAAGUAAAUUCUUUUGUCCACAAUUGAAACAACCAGAAUUUUAAAAGAAAAAUUUCUUUUAACACCAGUUUACAGAAGUCAAAAUUAAUACAGAUUUAGCCCAAUCUCCAACAAUUUCCACAUUUGCAUUAUUAUAACUCUUGUUUGUAACUUCUGAAAUACUGGAAGAUCUUGUAGUGAAUCAAAGAUUAAAAUACCUACAUAGUUCAGUUCUAAUCUAUAUAAUUUUAUUCUUUUAAAAAUCUACACAUUACGUACAAAACAACCUUUACACUUAGAUUAAUGCUACUUAUAUGAAAGUAGUUAUUGGGGAAACUACUUUUAUUUCAACACUGUUGCCAUUGUACACAUUUUGGAACUCCUCUUUUUGCAACUGUUUGCUAAUUCAAAGACCUUCUGCAACUUUUCGUCUUCUCCUUUCAGCCUUGACUCAAUCUAUGUAAACUUAGCCAGUUAAAACAUACAAUGGUAAAUUCAGAUGUAUUCUCAUACUACUUAACUCACAAAUAUUUAUCCAAUUUCUUUUUCCACUUUGGGCUUCACGUUUCUAAGAAAAAUAAUAAGACAUUUCUCAAUGACUUCUUGAAGAUAUUUACUUUGUAUCUAGGAAGUUUUCUUAAAGACCUUAAUUGCUUAGCUAAAUUCUGCAUUUUAUGAGAACUCAUUUAAAGCAAAGACCUAUGUUUCCCAUUCUCUGCCUCUCUGCCCCCUCAACAUUAACUUUUCUAGUCCUCCAACACGCCAAGUUAAGGGUCUCUACUGAACCUACCCUUCCCUCUGUUCCUCUCCCAGUUCUCCACUUCGUUCACUCCUUCACAACACCUAGGUCUCUACUCAUUGUCAUUCCUCAGAGAAUGAUCAUGCUAUACAUACAUCCCAACAAACUCUAAGGCUUCAAAUCUCUGUAUAGCAGUCAUGAUCUGAAAUUAUAUUAUUUACUUGUCUGCAUCCCCCACUAGAAUGUAAGCUCUAUGAGAGCAGAGUCUUAUACUAGUAUCUGCAAUAUAACAUAAACAUGUUAUUCACAUAAGUGAACUCUCUCAAAGGGCAAUAGAAAUGAUACCUACAGAUACAUGGAAAAGCAGGGAUUCUAGAGCUUGGCAAUGAAAGCACAUAUCCUUAUUUCCCUGUUGAGGUCAUGUGGAGAAUGAUUUAUUAAAAGACGACACAUUUCUAGAUGAGUUACUGGAGCAAGAUAUCUACCCAUUCCUACCUCCCUAUGCUGCUGCUAAAGGGAAUUCUGGGGCUCUAUACCAAGAGGAAUGCGCACAGAAUGCAUUCUUAAUAUCCUGAGAUAAAAAUGAAAAUGCAUUUUCCCACAGAAACAACAUCGCAAAUAGCAAUCAAGGAACUAGUCACUGGUAAUGGAAAUUAUGAUGGCCCCAGAAUAAUAUAGUUCCAAAUAAGGCUGUUAUAUUUUGAAGAUGCCUAGUCUUCUAAAUGGAAACUAACAAAUAAUCAGUACACUGUAGAAACUACUCCCAUUUUCUAUGCAGAACAUAUUUGCUGAGGAGGGACCUAGACUAAAAGAAAUGAGCUUGCCCCUAAUCACUUAUGGUAAAUUAUCCACCUGUUUAUUUACCCAACAAAGCAGAAUGGUAAAAGUAAAAUAAGCAUACAAAACCUAACAUUAUAACCAUGUUUUCCUACAAGGUUGUGUGGCAUACUUUAGUCUUCUACUUACAGACAAGUCAAAAAACUACUUAGUGAGAGCAUAUUACAAUCCAAAGCACUAUACAAAAUACAAUUGCUAUAUGAGUAGCAUAGCAAUAAGCUACUUUUAGAAGCUGCAGAGGAAAUUGUGGUCUGUGAUGACCUAGGGGAAUAUGGGGCAGGGAAAAGUGAGAAUGAAAUGGAUUUGGAUUGAAAUACCAUGAAGAAAAAGAUAGAAUUGGGUUCUAAAUGUCUCUUCUAGUUCUUCAGGCUCUCCCAUCUCUCUUUUCCACUUCUAUAAAGUCAAUUGCACUUACAUAUUGAUGAAUCAGAAAUAAAGAAAGGGUAGGCUAACAGGCAGGAAAGUAUAGCAUGGUAUCAAAGAUCCGAUCCCUAUUGACGUUAUCAAAGUAACAUCUGGCCUCAUUGUGAGGAGAGGGAGUAGCUGACAGGCCAACUCCCCUGUUCAUACUAGUAGAUUGCAAGUUCAGCUCUUGUUUUGUUCCUCCUAACCAACCCCUGGAUUACUACUUUUCUAGCCAAUCAACAAAUAGUACUUCUACUAUGCAAAGACUUGGACAGGUACUGAUUUUAACUUUCUCCUAUUCUGAGUAAGAGUCCUUUUCUUUUCGAGGCACCAGUACAUUUCCUUUGGGCUUCCCUUCAACUCAACCUUCACCCAUGAGUCAGUGUUUUCACUCUCCCUUUUAUCUUUUGGAAAUCCUGGACUCACGCUUACUCCAAGCUCCACCCAGAUUUCCCAUUAGAGUCAUCCCUUUCAAAGAGUCCCCAGGCAUACCUGCACUUGAAAGCCAACUCCAGCUAGAGAAUAUCUUAGUCAACUACAGAAACGUUCACUUAGGACAGUCGUUCUCACACUACAGGAAGCACAGAAUCACCUAGCUAGCUAAUUAAAACACACUCUCCAAGUUCCUGACUUCUUAAGUCUAGAGUAAAACCCCAUAAUUUGCAUUUCCAACAAGUUCCCAGGUGAUGUUGACGCUGCUCAUCCCGGGCAACACUUUGAGAACCACUAAUUUAGGAGUAUUCCUUUAUAUUUUAAGGAUUAUCACGACCUCAAACAGCUGUCAUUCUAUCCUGGGGCUAGACCUUAAUAGGUACUUUUUAGUGAAAAGUCUAUGAUUAAUUCUUACAGGUGAAGAGGAAAAAAUAAGCUAGAGUGUGAGAUCAUUAAAAUUUGGGAAUGUCGGUAGUAUCGCUGGAACCAGGUCAAGGCUAGUUAGUAAGAAUCGAGGACGGGGGAAUAAAAGAAAGUCUUACAUAUUUUGGCGCUUAUUAGAAAUCCCUCCAAACAAGUAUUAUUCGACGUGUCUUUUGUAAAGCAGUCCCACCAUGAAAACUGCCUACUCUUCCCAUAGCACUCUCCCGACAGCAUUUCCCAGCGCUCCAACAAAACUCUGCCAAUCAGUGUCAAAACAGCCCUGCCAGCCCCACAGAAGCAGGCAAUGGGCAGGGUUUCCCAGAGCAACACCUAAAAAGGGCUGGGUCUGGAGAAAAGCUGAACUCAGAUUCGAAUUUUAAGUGAAUUUUCCUACCCGCGCCCCCAAGUCAGCGUACUUCAAGAAAUCUCACCCUGAAAACACUGGCAAAGGUUGCUAAAGCCGCUUUUUGCGGACCAAGCCGGCUCAACAAGCUGCACUGGGGAAGGAAAACGACAUGAAAAGAUGCAAAGGCGGCCAACAGGCUUUCCACAUUUCACACUGGAAACGAAGUCACCCUGCCUCAACUUCAGGAUCCAUGAGAAACUAUAACUUUUGACAGACUCAACUGAGUGCACUUGUCCACUUCACAAAGCAUUUAGUUUGCCAUGGCAAAGCUGAGUAGCGCACCAAAAACGUGUGCAUGCAAAACAGCAGUGGAAAAUACAGUGAAGGUCUUUAUAACUACAACGUAUGCAAACUGAAAACAUCAACAAAAUCAAUGCUGAAAACAAUGAACUUUGGGGAGAACUUGACAGAAGAUGAAGAAAGAUCUAGAGCUAAAGAAGUCACUGAGUAACAAACUGGUUUGUCUUGGGUAACCAGAGCCAAAGGAGUCCAAAUAUCUGACUCCCAACUCCAGGCUGUAUCUAAUACGUCUAAUAUCACCAUGAUGAGAAGAAGCAAAGUACCCAUCACUGAUAUGCAUAUUAAUCCCAAGGUAUUACUUCUCCAACAUAUGUAUAUUGAGCCUUUUUAGAACAUCUAUUUUAUGGAAAAUGCUUCAGUAUAGUUUUGGGGGUUCUUUAAAUCUCAUGAUCCAGAGCAAGAAUAAACUAAAAUGGUCAGUUUUCAACAAACUAAAGAAGACUAGCUAAAGCAUAAAGAAUUGAACACCUAACAGAAAUAAAAUGUCUUACAAAUGUAAUGCCAAGAAACAACCACAGCAAACAGGUUUGUUUCAAAAGUAAAAUUAAGAGAUAUUUUCAUAAUUGUAUUUCAGUCUGGACUGAACUGUAUCUUCCAAUGUAUAGCUGAGAAAACACAUGGAAAAGUAGUGGAACAUAAAUUUUUCCUCAAAUAAACAUAUGUGUGUGCA
This is a long non-coding RNA of Pteropus alecto (black flying fox), 4331 nucleotides long. RefSeq lists it as uncharacterized. The record is from RefSeq and is a predicted model, not a curated record. Lineage: Eukaryota; Metazoa; Chordata; Mammalia; Chiroptera; Pteropodidae. The transcript is spliced from 4 exons.